GUGCUCACUUUGGAAGAAACACGUAGUAAAAUUGGAAGUAUACAGAGAUUAGCAUGAUCCCUGAACAAGGAUAACAGUGCAAAUGUGUGAAAUAUUCCUUAUAUUU
Molecule: small nuclear RNA, 106 nt
Organism: Neogale vison (American mink)
Lineage: Eukaryota; Metazoa; Chordata; Mammalia; Carnivora; Mustelidae
Source: Ensembl